GCUAAACGCGAAGAACCUUACCAGCUUUUGACAUGUCCGGUAUGGGCACCAGAGAUGGAGUCCUUCAGUUCGGCUGGCCGGAACACAGGUGCUGCAUGGCUGUCGUCAGCUCGUGUCGUGAGAUGUUGGGUUAAGUCCCGCAACGAGCGCAACCCUCGUCCCUAGUUGCCAUCAUUCAGUUGGGCACUCUAGGGAGACUGCCGGUGAUAAGCCGCGAGAGGUGGGAUGACGUCAAGUCCUCAUGGCCCUUACAGGCUGGGCUACACACGUGCUACAAUGGCGGUGACAGUGGGAAGCGAACCCGCGAGGGGGAGCUAAUCUCAAAAAGCCGUCUCAGUUCGGAUUGCACUCUGCAACUCGAGUGCAUGAAGUUGGAAUCGCUAGUAAUCGUGGAUCAGCACGCCACGGUGAAUACGUUCCCGGGUCUUGUACACACCGAGUCGUGG
This 446-nucleotide ribosomal RNA is filed under the name uncultured bacterium. RNAcentral's name for it is "bacterial SSU rRNA". It matches the Rfam family "Bacterial small subunit ribosomal RNA", at positions 954 to 1402 of the family's 1533-position model. The record is from RNAcentral.